RNAcentral lists this ribosomal RNA (253 nucleotides) under uncultured bacterium. RNAcentral's name for it is "partial 16S ribosomal RNA". It matches the Rfam family "Bacterial small subunit ribosomal RNA", at positions 524 to 776 of the family's 1533-position model. The record is from RNAcentral.
UACGUAGGGAGCAAGCGUUGUCCGGAUUUAUUGGGUGUAAAGGGUGCGUAGGCGGCUACAUUAGUCAGGCGUGUAAUUCAGAGGCUUAACCUCUGAACUGCGCUUGAAACUGUGUGGCUUGAGUGGAGUAGAGGCAGAUGGAAUUUCCAGUGUAGCGGUGAAAUGCGUAGAUAUUGGAAGGAACACCAGUGGCGAAGGCGAUCUGCUGGGCUUUAACUGACGCUGAUGUACGAAAGCGUGGGGAGCGAACAGG